This 486-nucleotide ribosomal RNA is filed under the name uncultured bacterium. Its description in RNAcentral is "partial 16S ribosomal RNA". It matches the Rfam family "Bacterial small subunit ribosomal RNA", at positions 28 to 507 of the family's 1533-position model. The record is from RNAcentral.
GACGAACGCUGGCGGCGUGCUUAACACAUGCAAGUCGAACGCUGAAGACCUGGCUUUUGUUGGGUUGGGUGAGUGGCGAACGGGUGAGUAACACGUGAGUAACCUGCCCUCUUCUUUGGGAUAACGCCCGGAAACGGGUGCUAAUACUGGAUAUUCACUGAUCUUCGCAUGGUGGUUGGUGGAAAGGUUUGUUCUGGUGGGGGAUGGGCUCGCGGCCUAUCAGCUUGUUGGUGGGGUGAUGGCCUACCAAGGCUUUGACGGGUAGCCGGCCUGAGAGGGUGACCGGUCACAUUGGGAGUGAGAUACGGCCCAGACUGCGGCGGGAGGCAGCAGUGGGGAAUAUUGCACAAUGGGCGAAAGCCUGAUGCAGCGACGGCGCGUGAGGGAUGGAGGCCUGCGGGUUGUAAACCUCUUUCGCUCAUGGUCAAGCCGGAAACGUGGGUUGUGGUGAGGGUAGUGGGUAAAGAAGCGCCGGCUAACUACGUG